UUGAAAGGGAAACGAUUGAAGUCAGUCGUACCGACGAGAAAUCAGCUCUUCGAGUGCGAACUUGUGGGUGUGCGUGAGUCUUUACGGGCCUCGCCGUUUGCAUGUUUGUGCUUUUAGGUGUACUUUUUCGUAUGGUAGCCAACGUCAGUUUCGAUUACCGUAAAAUGAUCGGAGUAAUGUAGCUUCGAUCUCGUAUUGAAGUGUUAUAGCCUCUGGUAGAUGCGGUGACCGAAACUGAGGAUUGCAACGAAUACCCUUUGGGCUAUCCGUCUGACCUCUGAAAGUUGCUUAAGUGCCGAAAGCUUGCUUACGGCUAUUUAAGAUGACGGUCAAAAGGUUAGAACGUGAUUACAUUCGUUAAGGAUGUUGACGUA
RNAcentral lists this ribosomal RNA (374 nucleotides) under uncultured Glomeromycotina. RNAcentral's name for it is "eukaryotic LSU rRNA". Lineage: Eukaryota; Fungi; Glomeromycota. The record is from RNAcentral.